This 254-nucleotide ribosomal RNA is filed under the name uncultured bacterium. Its description in RNAcentral is "partial 16S ribosomal RNA". It matches the Rfam family "Bacterial small subunit ribosomal RNA", at positions 524 to 776 of the family's 1533-position model. The record is from RNAcentral.
UACGGGGGGAGCAAGCGUUGUUCGGAUUUACUGGGCGUAAAGGGCGCGUAGGCGGCCUCUGCAAGUCGACUGUGAAAUCUCCGGGCUUAACCCGGAACGGUCAGCCGAUACUGCAGGGCUAGAGUGCAGAAGGGGCAACUGGAAUUCUCGGUGUAGCGGUGAAAUGCGUAGAUAUCGAGAGGAACACCUGCGGCGAAGGCGGGUUGCUGGGCUGACACUGACGCUGAGGCGCGAAAGUGUGGGGAUCAAACAGG